RNAcentral lists this ribosomal RNA (389 nucleotides) under uncultured Prevotella sp. RNAcentral's name for it is "bacterial SSU rRNA". It matches the Rfam family "Bacterial small subunit ribosomal RNA", at positions 355 to 741 of the family's 1533-position model. Lineage: Bacteria; Pseudomonadati; Bacteroidota; Bacteroidia; Bacteroidales; Prevotellaceae. The record is from RNAcentral.
GGAUGAAUAUUGGUCAAUGGGCGAGAGCCUGAACCAGCCAAGCCGCGUGAGGGAAGAAGGCGCUCAGCGUCGUAAACCUCUUUAGCCGGGGGACAAAACCUCCUCGCGAAGGAGGCUUGAGAGUACCCGGAGAAUAAGCAUCGGCUAACUCCGUGCCAGCAGCCGCGGUAAUACGGAGGAUGCGAGCGUUAUCCGGAUUUAUUGGGUUUAAAGGGAGCGUAGGCCGGAGAUUAAGCGUGUUGUGAAAUGUAGUGGCUCAACCUCUGCACUGCAGCGCGAACUGGUCUUCUUGAGUACGCACAACGUGGGCGGAAUUCGUGGUGUAGCGGUGAAAUGCUUAGAUAUCACGAAGAACUCCGAUUGCGAAGGCAGCUCACGGGAGCGCAACU